RNAcentral lists this long non-coding RNA (549 nucleotides) under Carica papaya (papaya). RNAcentral describes it as "long non-coding RNA (CPAP_LNC001880)". The record is from RNAcentral. Lineage: Eukaryota; Viridiplantae; Streptophyta; Magnoliopsida; Brassicales; Caricaceae.
AGCACACCCACGGUCAAAUUGGAGCAAAAGACUGGCCAAUUGGCUGAAAAAUGCCGGCAAAGUCCGGCGCUGCCACCGCAGAGAAUUUCACAAAACGACUCCGAUGAGGCCCUUUUCGAUUCUCCUUCUGUGUAAUUUUUCCACCGUUGUGAUCACCGUAUCCUUCUCUACUGGUUGACCAGAGCAAAACACCCAACCACAACGUGAGCCGAAGGAGGCGCCGCACCAGAGAGCCCCGCCGCCGGUGAGUUUCAGUUUUUUAUAUUUUUUUGGCCAACCGAGGUCUUUUAACGUAUUUUCUCGCAGGUAUCGAUGUAGAAUCGGCCGAAAAUAGCCAACCCGAGGCGGACCACCGCCGGAGCACGACGGAAUUCCACAAUUGGCCAAGUGGGCCCCGGGACUGAUUUUGGAUUUGUUUGAGACAUUUGUAGGUACUAUUAGCGUGUUUCAAUUCCCGAAGAAAAAUUUAGAGAAGUAGGGAAUCACCCGUAGGCGCAGUCGAACAGCUUAGCUUUUCGAACAUCAAAUCGAGUAAGGAUCCCUUACCCU